RNAcentral lists this transfer RNA (74 nucleotides) under Candidatus Omnitrophica bacterium CG1_02_49_10. RNAcentral's name for it is "tRNA-Gly". It matches the Rfam family "tRNA". Rfam says of the family: Transfer RNA (tRNA) molecules are approximately 80 nucleotides in length. Their secondary structure includes four short double-helical elements and three loops (D, anti-codon, and T loops). The record is from RNAcentral. Lineage: Bacteria; Pseudomonadati; Candidatus Omnitrophota.
GCGGGUGUAGCACAAUGGUAGUGCGCUAGCCUUCCAAGCUAGCCAUACGGGUUCGAUUCCCGUCACCCGCUCCA